AUGUUUGAACUCCUUGUCCUUCCUCUGCCUGAGUGGUGGGACUACAGACAAGCAAGUGCCAUCCUGUUAGUGAGAGCAGUUGUUUGGGAGCUUGCUUGUGACUGCUGGAGACUGUAUCCAGGGCCUGUGCAUUACAGGGAAGUCCAUCCUCAGGAUUUAAAAUGCAAGACUAAAAGAUGCACUUGGAGGCACAGCAUGCUUGAGUCUUACCCUACCACUCACUGA
Molecule: long non-coding RNA, 225 nt
Filed under: Cricetulus griseus (Chinese hamster)
Lineage: Eukaryota; Metazoa; Chordata; Mammalia; Rodentia; Cricetidae
Description: lncRNA (ENSCGRG00000025453.1)
Source: RNAcentral